CAGUCGCCACGGUAAUGCGGAGGAUCCAAGCGUUAUCCGGAAUCAUUGGGUUUAAAGGGUCCGUAGGCGGUUUAGUAAGUCAGUGGUGAAAGCCCAUCGCUCAACGGUGGAACGGCCAUUGAUACUGCUGAACUUGAAUUAUUAGGAAGUAACUAGAAUAUGUAGUGUAGCGGUGAAAUGCUUAGAGAUUACAUGGAAUACCAAUUGCGAAGGCAGGUUACUACUAAUUGAUUGACGCUGAUGGACGAAAGCGUGGGGAGCGAACAGGAUUAGAGACCCCGGUAGUCCCUGUCUCUUAUAC
This 301-nucleotide ribosomal RNA is filed under the name uncultured bacterium. Its description in RNAcentral is "partial 16S ribosomal RNA". It matches the Rfam family "Bacterial small subunit ribosomal RNA", at positions 509 to 807 of the family's 1533-position model. The record is from RNAcentral.